UACGAAGGGGGCUAGCGUUGUUCGGAAUUACUGGGCGUAAAGCGCGCGCAGGUGGUCUUUCAAGUCAGUGGUGAAAGCCCGGAGCUCAACUCCGGAAAUGCCAUUGAAACUGUGAGACUUGAGGACGAGGGAGGUGAGUGGAAUUCCCAGAGUAGAGGUGAAAUUCGUAGAUAUUGGGAAGAACACCGGUGGCGAAGGCGGGUCUCUGGGCAGUAACUGACGCUGAGAAGCGAAAGCGUGGGGAGCGAACAGG
Molecule: ribosomal RNA, 253 nt
Filed under: uncultured bacterium
Lineage: Bacteria
Description: partial 16S ribosomal RNA
Rfam family: Bacterial small subunit ribosomal RNA
Source: RNAcentral